Long non-coding RNA from Felis catus (domestic cat), 7996 nucleotides. RefSeq lists it as uncharacterized. NCBI's taxonomy places the organism in Eukaryota, Metazoa, Chordata, Mammalia, Carnivora, Felidae. The transcript has 3 exons. The record is from RefSeq and is a predicted model, not a curated record.
UCCUGUAACAGCCUCCUAAAGACCUUCACAGCCAUGACCCCAGAGCAUCACUGCUGGCCAGCCAACUGGACCAAUGGGUCCCCUGUCCCGGAUGGGACAGCUUUGUGUUGACACUGUAGCUUGAAAAAUAACAGCUUUGUUCUGACACUGAAGGUCAAGAGAUAACAGCCUUGCUUUACUCUUGUACAUUACGCUUCAUACUCUUGUAAAUCAGGCUUCACCAACUAAAGACACAAAAGUUCAAAGGGGAUGGGGACCGGCUGAGAGUCUUCAUCCCGCUGGACAAGGACCAGAAGCCUGAGCGAUGCCUGAGGUCCUCCGAGCCCCCCUGGCAGAUCGUAAACCUCAGAGACUCCUCCUUCCUGAGUCCGGACACCGAGCCCUGCCUGGAUGGGUGGGUGUCCGAGUAAUGUGUUGACUCGUCGAUCGUUUCUGAGGGGAGGCAAAGCCAGAGCCAAGUGCUGAGCCUUCUGGUGAUUUUUUUUUUGUUGAUUUGUUUUACUUUAAUCAAGAUAUAACUUAACUCCAUUAAAUGCUCAAAAUUUAAGUGUGCAGCUGAGUAAGUUUUACACACGUAAACACCAGAUCCAGAUACAGAUGAUUUCCGGGACCCCAGCAGUCUCCCUCGCAGCCCUCUACGUCAUUACUGGAUCCCCGCUAUAACCGCCAUUCAGACCUCUAUCAUCAUCCGUUGGUUCUGCUUAUGUUUGAACUUCACGCCAGUGGAAUUGUACGGUAUGCGCUCUUUCGUGUGUUGGGAUUUUUUUGCACUCAUUACAGGUUUUUAGGAGUCAUCCGUGGUGAUAUAUGCUUUGGGAGUUGGUUCUUUCUCAGUGCUGCAAAGCAUUCCAUUGUACGAAUGUACCACAGUGUAUAUAUCCAUUCUCCUCUUGAAAUACAUCUGUGCUGUCUCCAGGUUGGGGCUAUUAUGAACAUCAUGGUCAUGAACAUUCUUGUACAAGUAUUUGGGUGGACACAGCCACUCAUUUGUGCUGGGUGUAUGCCCAGGGGUGGGCGUGUAGGAUCACAGAGUGGCCCCAGAUUCUGCCAAGCAGUUUUCUAAGUGUGUAAGACGUUCAGACGUGUCUGAUUGCCUCAUCUCCUUUCCCACACCUGGUCCAACUGUAAGGGUUAAAUUGUAGUGUAGGGCUAAUGCAUAGCUUGAAAGAUAACAGCUUUGUGUUGACACUGUAGCUUGAAAAAUAACAGCUUUGUUCUGACACUGAAGGUCAGGAGAUAACAGCCUUCCUUGCUUUACUCUUGUACAUUACGCUUCAUACUCUUGUAAAUCGGGCUUCACCAACUAAGGAAACAAAAGUUCAAAGAAAAGAGCGUCAGAGGCAAGGUCAAGGAGAUCCACUGGUUGCAACUUAGCGGCAGAAAGUCUAAAAUAAUCACCUCAUUCAGCAACUGUUUCUAACUCAUCUGGGAACUGUUUCUCUGUUCUGUUCCCGGGUGAUGAUAAAACGAUGUGAUCGGCCAUAAAAACUCUGUACCCUGGCUGUUCGAGGCCACGCUCUGAUCAAGAGUGUUGGUCCCCAUCGGUCGGCCUUGCCUCUCAUUGCAAUAAACUUUGUUGUGACUGUCACUGGUGCCCGUAGCAUUCUGUUUCAGGAGUCGUGUGGAUGCAACAUUCGGUGCAUUGGCCGGGAAAGUGAAAGGUCUGAAACAGGGCCCUUUCCUCGGACUGCUCCGCCGACCCCUGGGAGGAGGCUUGGGAUUGGGAGAGGCACGAAGACCAAAUCCCAUACAUUGGAGCAUGGAGAACCCUCAUUGAAAACCCUCCAGAUUGGUUAAAACUUCUCCUUCCCCAUCCCCCUCGCCUCCCUAAAGUACAGGCUUUGCUGCUCAAAGGCCGGCCAUUUGGAGCUCUCUUGAUGGGACUAAGCAGCCACCCCCUCUAUCACUUGCACCGGAGGAAGAAAAAGAAACUUACCACCCGCCGCCCUAUAGUUCUCGCCCAAAGAAUAUGGGUCAAGAUGCUUCAGAUCAGGAGGCAAGCCCGAGUCGGGACACUCCCCUGAGCCCGUCUCACACCUGGUCAGGGACUCCCUUCCAUCCCCCUCCCGCUGCCCGACCCCUUUGUCCAAGGCCACCCCUGCAGGGUGAUGUCCGACCCUUUAUGACUUAUGUACCCUUCUCCACUAGCGACCUUUACAAUUGGAAGCUUCGAGACCCCUCGUUCUCAGAGAAACCCCAAGCAUUAAUUUCUCUCCUUGAAACUCUAUUUGUGACCCAUCAGCCAACCUGGGACGACUGCCAGCAUCCGUUGCAAGUUCUCUUCACCACUGAGGAGCGAGACAAGAUCCGUCGCGAGGCCCAGAAAUUAGUGAUGGGACCAAACGGGCAACCCACCGAGGAUCCCGCUGUAGUCGAGGAAGUCUUUCCUUCCUCCCAUCCUGAAAAUCGGGACCCAAACACUCCUCACGGUAGGCGAUCAUUGACCCUAUUUCGCCAGACUCUACUGGGAGGUCUCCGAGCGGCCGCCCGCCGGCCCACAAACAUGUCUAAGGUAACAGAAGUCAUGCAGGGGACCGAGGAAACCCCUCGGCCUUCUUAGAAAGGCUCAUGGAGGCCUUGAGGCACCUGAAAACAGAAGAGCAUUAAAUCUGGCCUUUGUCUCACAGGCCGCCCCAGACAUUCGGAAAAAGUUACAAAACUUUGAUGGGUUGAAAGGAAAAAAUUUAUCUGAGUUAGUUGAGAUAGCCCAAAACGUUUUUAACAGUAGGGAUUCUCAGGAAGAAAGACAGACACAAAAAUUGACUAGGGUGGUGACGCCCGUCCUGGAUGCCCGCGAGGGAAGAGGACCCCAAACACCCGAAGAAUUCUGGUCUGGGCCAAAGAAAAAAGACAGACAAAGGGUUAGAGCGCCACUAGGAAAAAACCAAUGUGCAUAUUGCAAACAAGAGGGACACUGGAAGAAGGAUUGCCCCAACUUAGCCCAACGCAAAACUCGGCCACCCCAGGUAUCUGUGAGGAGAGUCAAUUUCGACUGACGGGGCCGCGGCUCGGUGGCCCCUUCUGAGCCUUUGGUUACUGUUAAUAUAGGGGGCCAGCCUAAGACUUUCUUGGUGGACAUUGGGGCAGCCUUUUCAGUUCUAAAACAAGAUCCUGGCCCCACCAGGCGAGGAGCAACCCUGGUGCAAGUCUGGGUCCCAGACUUGUAAAUGGACCACUGAACGACAAGUAGAUUUCGGCCGUAAAACUGUCACACAUUCUUUCCCAAUCAUGCCUGAAUGCCCCUGCCCUGGAUUACUAGGUAGAGACCUACUACAUUAACUAACGGCUUCUUUGAAAUUCACUAAAGGGGGUAUGCAUAUUAAAGUCGGCCAGGAUGGCCCAACAACCGUAAUGGUGACUGUGCCACUUGGGGAAGAGGACCUGCUCACUCCGGUGCCUAAUGGAAGUGUCCAUGCAGUCGAUCCCCUCCUCAAAAGCCUCCAGGCGGGCUUUCCCCAGGUAUGAGCUGAGACCAAUUCACCCGGGGCUGGCGAUUCAUCAAGCUCCGGUAAUAGUGGAACUUAAGGCAUCCGCGCUUCGGGUAAGACUAAUAUCCCACGUCCCGGGAGGCUCGGCGGGGAAUCGCCGUUCACAUCAAGUGUUUGCGCGACUCCGGCAUUUUGAUCCCAUGCAAGUCGCCAUGGAACAUUCCGCUUCUCCCUGUCCGGAAGCCUAACUCAUCCGAUUUCCGGCCAGUUCAGGACCUAAGAGCAGUAAACGCCAGGGCAAUGGACAUUCAUCCCACUGUACCCAACCCUCAUACUCUCCUUAGUUUGCUUCCCCCUUCUCAGGUGUAUUAUAUACAGUUCUGGACUUAAAAGAUGCCUUCUUUGCCAUCCCGCUGGCCCCACAAAGCCAGCCACUAUUUGCAUUUGGAUGGACUGAGCCUGAAGAGGGAAAAUCCGGACAGCUCACCUGGACGUGACUCCCCCAGGGAUUUAAAAAUUCUCCUACUCUUUUCAAUGAGGCCCUGCACCAGGAUUUAGAGCCAUUUCGAAUCUCCAACCCGCAGGUAACUCUAUUGCAAUAUGUUGAUGAGAUCUUGUUGGCGGCCCCCUGUCAUUUAGGAUGCCUGAAGUGCCACCAAAGGACUCUUGAGUCUUCUGCGAAAACUGGGGUACCGAGGGUCAGCCAGAAAAGCGCAGAUCUGUCGUGCUGCGGGGACCUAUUUAGGUGACAACCUUAAACAAGGUAAGCGCUAUCUCGGUGAACAAAGGAUUCGGGCUAUACUCGAUAUUCCUCAGCCUAGAACUCGCAAACAAGUCCGCGAGUUCCUUGGGGCGGCAGGCCAUUGCAGACUAUGGAUACCUGGCUUUGCUGAACAGGCAGCCCCUUUGUAUGCCGCUCUCAAGGGGUCUCUGGAGUCCUUCACAUGGGGGGAGACUCAAACUAAAGCCUUCCAGGCCUUACGAGAUGCUCUCACGACCCCACCGGCCUGGGCCCUGCCAGAUCCCACCAAGCCAUUCCAUUUGUUUGUAGCCGAAAAAGGGGGGGGGGGGUAGCCAGAGGAGUUCUGACUCAGCGCCUGGGAACUUGGCGCCAACCGGUGGCCUAUUUAUCCAAACGGCUGGACCCAGUUGCUUCCGGGUGGCCCCCAUGCAUUCGACAAAUUGCCGCCACCGCGCUCCUAGUUAAAGCCGCAGACAAACUAACCUUGGGGCAGGCAUUGUCUGUCACGGGGCCCCAUGAAGCGGAGGCUUUGCUGCAGGCUCCCCCAGAGCGAUGGCUGUCAAAUGCUCGGAUUACCCAAUAUCAAGCAUUGCUCCUCGACCGGCCCCGAAUACGUCUUUGUGCCCCCGCGGCCUUAAACCCAGCCACUUUGCUGCCCGUAGGACAAGGUCCCCCUCUGCACUCUUGCCCAGAAACCUUGGCGAUGAUCUCGUCCCUCCGCUCCGAUCUUAUGGACGUUCCCUUACAGGACCCUGAUAUCAACAGGACCCUGAUAUCAGCAUGUUUUCAGGCGGCAGUGGUUUUGUGUUUCAAGGACAAAGGCGUGCCCGCGCUGCAGCGAUGACAGACCGCGAGGUUCUAUGGCAACAGACCCUCCCCCCGGGAACUUCAGCCCAGCGCGCAGAGCUCAUCGCGCUAACAAAAGCCCUAAAACUCGAAAGAAACAAGGCAGUUAAUAUUUAUACGGACCGCCGCUAUGCUUUUGCCCCGCCCAUGUGCACGGAUCCAUUUAUCAAGAGCGCAGCCUCCUCACGACGGAAGGCAAGGCCGUCAAAAACAAAUCGAAAAUUUUAGACCUUCUGGCUGCCAUCUGGGAACCUGCAAAACUGGCGGAUCAUUCAUUGCCGGGGACAUCAAAAAGGCGCCUCCCUGGAGGCAGUCGGAAACCGCCUGGCUGAUGCAGCAGCCCGAGAAGCUGCCCUAACUAAAAGUGAAAGUGCCUUGCAGCUACCGAUCUUGACCGGUCCUGCUUCCCCUGGAGCCCAGUUGCACUCCUAAAGAUUUGGAGUGGGUUUCCAGAAAAGGAGGGAAGUAAGAUGCUGGGACAAAAGUGGUUUCAGGAUCCUGAAGACCUCCACCUAUCCUGCCGAGGCUAGGAGACGACGUAACGGAACAGUUGGAACAGGACCGCUUGCUGGCCUCACUCGUGGCCCUGCAACAUGUACAGAAGGAAAUAACCAGGGCCUUGAGAGAAGCCUUCGCUCAUCCUCCUGUUCUUCCCCACCCCUUUCAACCAGGAGACUUAGUCUGGGUCAAGAGGCACGAGCCUAAAACCCUGGAGCCACGCCGGAAAGGACCGCACGCUGUGAUCCUGACUACACCCACGGCCGUGAAGAUAGACAGUGUCCGAACCUGGAUUCAUCACUCUCAGGUCAAGAAAAACUGCGUGAAGGCGGGAACACCCCCAGACUGAUACGGAACCGGAUAACGAACACAAUGGAAGGUCCGAAGGCACCCAGAGGAUCCUUUAAAGCUGAGACUGAUGCGGGCGUAAUAAUAAUAAUUGUCUGGGUUUGUAUAGUGGUAAGCGUGGGGGACUGUACGGAAUUGCAUCCCCUAUCUUUUUGGCCAUACCAAGGGGAACUCAGGGACACUGUCACAGGGUAGGUGAUAGCAUCUAAUACCUCUUCCACUGUGCCUCGUUUUUUGUUUGAUUUAUGCGACUUGGUGGGGGACUCAUGGGGGACUUUAAUUACUAAUUAUAAACAGCCAACGGGCUUUGCUCCUCCGGUCCCCAAAAACCCCUAUAUGGUUACGUAUGGAUGUGGACACAGGGAUCGAGAACAAAAAUUGGCUGACAUACCAGGGUUAUACAGUUGCCCUGCAAAUAGAAACGUCGAAUGCGAAGGAAAAGGCCAAUACCAUUGUGCAAAAUGGGGUUAUGAAACACUGGCUCCCUGGCUGGCGGGACAGGGCCAUGACCCCUUAACCACCCUCCUUAGAACUCCAGAUCCCAAAUGUAAGACCCAAGGAAAAGGCAACCCAACAAAAAUGUGUUUAAAAAAGGUUUCUAGUUCCCGUACCUUUUCCUCUUCCUGGGACACUGGAUACGCUUGGGGUCUCAGGAUGUCCGCUCCAAGGGUUGACAAAGGCAUUUCCUUUACUAUACAAAGGGUUAAAAAAAAAAAACCUCCACCCAAUCCGGUAGAGCCAAACAAGGACAUGAUUUUACACCCCCCCCCCCCGCUCUUUCCGACUGUCCCUUCCCAACCUACCCUGCGAUCGGAUGCCCCCACAAAGUCAGAAUUACCAACUUCAGGUCAUAUCCAGAACUCAUUCUCCCCUGAGACGCAUUGGCUAAAUGCAGUAGAUUCUCUGUAUGCUUGGCUAAAUUCAUCUCACGCCGAGAUUGUACAAGACUGUUGGCUGUGUUUAAACCCUAACCCCCAUAUUAUGUGGGAAUGGCUACAAAUGCCAGCAUUAGACAAGACAUAGAAAAGCAUGCCAUAAAAUUGCUAAAUCCAAGCAUGUCAUUGUCCCCUUGGGGUUCACAACCAAUUUUAACCCUAGGAGACCUCCAAGGACAGGGUUGGUGCAUAGUGUCCCGAGAAUAUAAUUCCACUCCUAGUGGGAUUGGGAAUUGCGGGACCCACAGCUAUUGGAACUGCUGGACUCAUUGUGGGGGACCAAAAUUUCAAAACUGUAAGCGAGCAAGUGGACCGAGACCUAGGCUACUUGGAAACCUCAAUUUCUCGGCCGGAACACCAACUAGACUCUUUAGCCGAGGUUGUAUUACAAAACAGAAGAGGGCUUGAUUUACUCUUCAUGAAGGAAGGGGGCUUCUGCGUGGCCCUCGGAGAAACGUGCUGUUUUUAUGCGAACAAUUCCAGAGUAAUCCGAGACACUCUCAAUUUGGUCAGGGAUAAUCUUAGGACCAGGGAACGUGCCUUGGAGGCCAGCGAUAAUUGGUAUCCGAGUUUAUUCUCUUGGUCCCCCUGGCUCACAUCACUGCUCACCGCCGUAGCUGGGCCACUGCUAUUGUUACUUCUCGGGUUAACUAUCGGCCCGCGCAUUAUCAAUUGGUUAGAACAGUAGGUCAAGAGGCGAGUUGGUGAAGCAAAAAUAAUGAUUAGGUCCAACUAUGUCCCCUUAGUUCCUAACGAUGAAUCAAGGGAUUGAUUCACUGACAAGAAAAGGGGGAAAUGUAAGGGUUAAAUUGUAGUGUGGGGCUAAUUGUAGCUUGAAAAAUAACAGCUUUGUUCCCACACUGAAGGUCAAGAGAUAACAGUCUUGCUUUACUCUUGUACAUUACGCUUCAUACUCUUGUAAAUCGGGCUUCACCAAUGAAGGAAACAAGCGCUCAAAGAAAAGAGUGUCAGAGGCAAGGUCAAGGAGAUCCACUGGUUGCAACUUAGCAGCAGAAAGUCUAAAAUAAUCACCUCAUUCAGCAACUGUUUCUAACUCAUCUGGGAACGGUUUCUCUGUUCUGUUCCCAGGUAAUGAUAAAACGAUGUGAUCGGCUUUAAAAACUCUGUACCUCUGCUGUUUCGGGGCCACAAUCGGUCGGCCUUGCUUCUCAUUGGAAUAAAUUUUGUUGUGACUGUCA